UUCAACAAACUGCACAGGUAAGAAGUGACACAAAAGGGAACUGGUGUAUUUUAAUGUCUGCAAUGGCUGAAUGCUCUUUUUUCAGAUACAAGAAGCUCUAAGAGGAAUUUCCAUUCAGGUGUUAUUCUCUCUCUGGGCCUGCUGAGCACUCUCAUGUUCAUUGGGCUCAUCACUCUUGGUGUCUAUUAUCGUGACACAGCUGCAAAUCUCUCUGAGAUGAGUAACAAACUUGCCGCCACAACUGAGGAGAGAGACCUUCUUCAUGCUAACCUCACUGAAAAUACCAGGGAGCUGGAAAGUCUUCAGAAUUUGACCAAACUGAAAAUUUCUCUCCAGUCACAUCAAGAAAUGUGCCUGGAUUGGGUUAAAUGACCGAGAAGAGGAAGGAAAGUGGAAAUGGUUUGACGGAACCUCACUGACUCUGAUACUCUCAUAUAUGCAACCCACCUUCUCCCCAUCUCAGCCUCACCCAAGUCACUCAAAGCACCAUUCAAGCCUUCAUCUUCACCACCACCAGCAUUUAGACUCUGGUGUGUCCUGUCC
Molecule: long non-coding RNA, 543 nt
Organism: Archocentrus centrarchus (flier cichlid)
Lineage: Eukaryota; Metazoa; Chordata; Actinopteri; Cichliformes; Cichlidae
Exons: 4
Source: RefSeq, a predicted model, not a curated record